This 497-nucleotide ribosomal RNA is filed under the name uncultured bacterium. RNAcentral describes it as "partial 16S ribosomal RNA". It matches the Rfam family "Bacterial small subunit ribosomal RNA", at positions 28 to 507 of the family's 1533-position model. The record is from RNAcentral.
GAUGAACGCUGGCGGCGUGCCUAAUACAUGCAAGUCGAGCGAACGGACGAGAAGCUUGCUUCUCUGAUGUUAGCGGCGGACGGGUGAGUAACACGUGGAUAACCUACCUAUAAGACUGGGAUAACUUCGGGAAACCGUAGCUAAUACCGGAUAAUAUUUUGAACCGCAUGGUUCAAAAGUGAAAGACGGUCUUGCUGUCACUUAUAGAUGGAUCCGCGCUGCAUUAGCUAGUUGGUAAGGUAACGGCUUACCAAGGCAACGAUGCAUAGCCGACCUGAGAGGGUGAUCGGCCACACUGGAACUGAGACACGGUCCAGACUCCUACGGGAGGCAGCAGUAGGGAAUCUUCCGCAAUGGGCGAAAGCCUGACGGAGCACCGCCGCGUGAGUGAUGAAGGUCUUCGGAUCGUAAAACUCUGUUAUUAGGGAAGAACAUAUGUGUAAGUAACUGUGCACAUCUUGACGGUACCUAAUCAGAAAGCCACGGCUAACUACGUG